UGGGGGAGUUGGGGGGACGGACACGACAGGGACAGGACACUUGUACAGAUGGAUUUGGUGCCACCAGCACUACUCCCUCAAUCAACUCAGGCUUUCAACCAACAAAAGCCUGAAAGACGAGUUGUCUACGACUUCUGGUUUCAGCCUGCCUUCACCAACACCCCCUGAGGCGACAGAGCACAAAGCAUCAGCGUAACGUGACUCGCGCUCCCCUUCCAAGUGGAGAAUCCCAUUGUACAAAACAGAAAGGGAGCUGCUUUGGUUGUCAGGUUGGGGCACAGAACUCCUGCUGGAUGGUUUCCUCACUCCAUCCCUGUCGCAGUCCCUGCAGUGGCUCAAGCAGACCGGAAGGCUCAGUGGAGCAUGGGGUGAAGAACCAGCCUCAGCCCACCCUCCACCCCACACUGAAAGCCUCUUCGUGGCUUCCCUUCACCCACCUCUGAUCACUCCCUUCCUGAGAGAAGUCUCACAGGCAGCCGACCCAUCGCCCAGCACCACCCAGGACGGGAAAACACUUCCUAUAUGAUUGACGACCCCAAUGUGAUUCCCCGUCACUCACCCACAAGUCUCAGUUCUGCCUAAGAGACCACAAGGAACAGGUCUACGUCCUCUUUCACAUGAGUUACAGAGCAUAUCUCUCCCUGGAGCGUCUUUUCCAGAUGAAACAGGCACUUAAACCUAUGAUAAGUGGGUAAAUGAAUGAAUAAAUGAAGAAGCAAACAUAGGAAGGAGCAGAUUGGAGGUGGAAAAGGAAGGAAGAGAAAGAACAACUGAAUGAAACACUCUCGUCAUUCUCUUCUGCACACUCUCUAGCUUGAAAAUGGUUCUCUUAAAAAGUGACAUGUGUGAGAAAAUUGUAGCUUUUGGAACUGAACACAAUUCUCCAGAAAGACCUUAACCAAGUGUUUUUCCUACUGUUGGCGGUAACCCAUAGAAGUUCUUCCUGCAGCCUAGCAGAUCGCCUCGCACCCCUACUUUGGAGACCAUGACACCCAGAAGGAGCUCACCAUCACCGCACAGGAGGGAGCAGACAAAGCCUUUUGGGCCAGAACGAAAGUUCAGGUCUAAACAAGGAAUACCCCCCAGAGGGUAACACCUGGACUGUAUCGGCCCACCAGAGCAAAGCCACACCAAGUUCCUGCAAUCAGAUCCUCUUCCAAGGCUACCUCACGUUGAUGUGAGAGGAUCCUGGAGGGGAAAGAGGGAUGGAAUCAGGGCCCCAAAAUAAAUGUAGUUGACUUCUCUUCGUUGCCUCCAGCAAUACCUAAAAUUUUGUAGUGAUGUUAUUUGCUAAAAGUAAUAAUGCUAACCACUACUACUUAUCGAGCACUCGGAAUUCUAAGUUCUGCACAUGUGUUAUUUCACUUAGUUUUUGAAAUAAUACCAGGGGUAAAGCGUUAUUAUCCCACUUUACAUAUGGGGCACCUGAGACUCAGAGACAUUAAAU
Molecule: long non-coding RNA, 1447 nt
Filed under: Equus caballus (horse)
Lineage: Eukaryota; Metazoa; Chordata; Mammalia; Perissodactyla; Equidae
Description: lncRNA (ENSECAG00000041879.2)
Source: RNAcentral